CUCAAAUUUGAAAUCUGGUACCUUCGGUGCCCGAGUUGUAAUUUGGAGAGGGCAACUUUGGGGCCGUUCCUUGUCUAUGUUCCUUGGAACAGGACGUCAUAGAGGGUGAGAAUCCCGUGUGGCGAGGAGUGCGGUUCUUUGUAAAGUGCCUUCGAAGAGUCGAGUUGUUUGGGAAUGCAGCUCUAAGUGGGUGGUAAAUUCCAUCUAAAGCUAAAUAUUGGCGAGAGACCGAUAGCGAACAAGUACAGUGAUGGAAAGAUGAAAAGAACUUUGAAAAGAGAGUGAAAAAGUACGUGAAAUUGUUGAAAGGGAAGGGCAUUUGAUCAGACAUGGUGUUUUGUGCCCUCUGCUCCUUGUGGGUAGGGGAAUCUCGCAUUUCACUGGGCCAGCAUCAGUUUUGGUGGCAGGAUAAAUCCAUAGGAAUGUAGCUUGCCUCGGUAAGUAUUAUAGCCUGUGGGAAUACUGCCAGCUGGGACUGAGGACUGCGACG
This 490-nucleotide ribosomal RNA is filed under the name Saccharomyces cerevisiae (brewer's yeast). Its description in RNAcentral is "eukaryotic LSU rRNA". It matches the Rfam family "Eukaryotic large subunit ribosomal RNA", at positions 108 to 601 of the family's 3401-position model. Lineage: Eukaryota; Fungi; Ascomycota; Saccharomycetes; Saccharomycetales; Saccharomycetaceae. The record is from RNAcentral.